RNAcentral lists this ribosomal RNA (526 nucleotides) under uncultured bacterium. Its description in RNAcentral is "bacterial SSU rRNA". It matches the Rfam family "Bacterial small subunit ribosomal RNA", at positions 338 to 866 of the family's 1533-position model. The record is from RNAcentral.
CCUACGGGAGGCAGCAGUGAGGAAUAUUGGACAAUGGGCGCAAGCCUGAUCCAGCCAUGCCGCGUGCAGGAAGAAGCAUCUAUGGUGUGUAAACUGCUUUUGUACAGGAAGAAACACUCCCUCGUGAGGGAGCUUGACGGUACUGUAAGAAUAAGGACCGGCUAACUCCGUGCCAGCAGCCGCGGUAAUAUGGAGGGUCCGAGCGUUAUCCGGAAUCAUUGGGUUUAAAGGGUCCGUAGGCGGUUUAAUAAGUCAGUGGUGAAAUCUGGUCGCUCAACGAUCAAACGGCCAUUGAUACUGUUAGACUUGAAUUAUAAGGAAGUAACUAGAAUAUGUAGUGUAGCGGUGAAAUGCUUAGAUAUUACAUGGAAUACCAAUUGCGAAGGCAGGUUACUACUUAUGGAUUGACGCUGAUGGACGAAAGCGUGGGGAGCGAACAGGAUUAGAUACCCUGGUAGUCCACGCCGUAAACGAUGGAUACCUAGCUGUCGUAGCAUACUGUGUGUGUAGACGAAGUAGAUAAGUA